CGAUCCAAAAAUUCAAUAGCCAGAGGCCGAUUCGAUUGCUCGAGAUGUGAUCGGCGGCGAGCUUGUGAGGAAAUUUUUGGGCUUUCUCAGUCGUCACUUCUCUCGAAUUGGAGCUCAAACACUUUCUUCAACCCUUAUCCCAUUCGAACACAACCCCACCAAUCUUUCUUUGUUUGGAGGGAGUUUCUGAGGUGAACCAUUCUUAAGGAAUUUGGGGAAGGAAUGAUGAAGACAUGUAUUCAGAGCCAUCUAUUCUUUGUGCAAGUCAGGUGUGAUCACAUAGAGUAAAGAUGUAACAUUCAUGGCUAAUGGUAAAGCUCAAUUUUUUGGCAUGUAAUCAUAUGAAUGCCAUUUAACCCUUUCUUUUGGCAUUUACAUGAAUUACUUCGUAACACUGGGAACAUAGGAACAUGGUCAAAGGUAUCAGCUCUGUUUUGUGGUUAUUCUUAAUAUUAUUUUCCAAUGACUUUCAGUUGUCAGUGUAGACCUAAAUUUGUUGCAAGCAUCACAUGCAGCAUAAUGUUCUAUUAGUGUACUUAAUGUUACCUGAACAAAGCUUGGCUUAUUGAGUCAGCUGUUGUGCUUAUGAACACUGACCUCAUGGGUGCACAGACAGAAACUCCUUUACAAAUUUAUAGUUGUUUUUCAUUGAA
This is a long non-coding RNA of Prunus persica (peach), 653 nucleotides long. RefSeq lists it as uncharacterized. Lineage: Eukaryota; Viridiplantae; Streptophyta; Magnoliopsida; Rosales; Rosaceae. The record is from RefSeq and is a predicted model, not a curated record. The transcript is spliced from 2 exons.